CGCUAUCCAAAUAACUGCUUUCCAUUCCAGCAGAUUGGUUCCCUUCCCUAUAAACAUGCUUCAUGAUCCUUUGUUGAAGUCCAUUGAUGAGUCUAUUACAAUCCAAAAUCAAAGUAAACAACACUAGAUUAUUAGAAAAUUCUUCAUAGGCAGAAUUAAUAAUAGUAGUAGAAUCAAGCUUAAUUUCCAAGAAAUCAAUAUUAAGAGUUCUAGCAAGUUGUAAGACAUCCCGAAGAUCUCAUUGUUCCACCUCAACAUUAGAAGCCUCAGAAUAUGCCUAAUUGAACCAUGGCCACUCAUGAUCUCAAAUUAUUCUCCCUGCACUUACAUUUCCCAAAUUGCCCACCAAAGGUUCGUUUGUGUUCAAUUUGAACCACCCAAUCAUUGGAAGCUACCACAAUGGAAACACAAGUUUUUUUUAUUAUUUUAGCUGAGAGAGCAAAGUACUCUCUCACUUUUGCAACACAUGUAUAUAUUACCAGCAUUAUCUCCAAAAAUAAUGUCAUUUCUAUUCAACCAAAAAAACAAAAAACAAAAUACAAUAUUCCGAGGUGUUUUAUGAUUAAUCAAACACAUUUAAGAGCAAAUAUUUUGUUCCAACCAGCCUUUUUAGUCAAGACUAGUAUUUUCCGUACCUAAGCUUGGUGGAUACGGCUCAUCCCAACAUUUACCCACAACAAGAAGACACUUACACAACAUAUUUCUCAAGGUUUCUUAGUAACUUUGGCAAAAGGAGCACUCCUCACUAAUCAAAAUGUCUCUCUUAACAAGAAAGGAUGUUGUAGAAACAAUAUCAUGAAAACAUUCCCAACUAAAACAAAAAUAAAUUUGGGAGGAAUUUUAAUUUUCCAAAUAAGGUCCCAAGGGAUACCAUUAUGACUGAUCUUAUCCAAUCUAUGAAGCAUAAGGCCAUAAGCACUCAUGAGGGUGAAUUGGCCAUUUGGGGAAAGACCCCAAAUGGUAGUAUCUCUACCAUCAAGGGCCAAAGACUCGAAAGUACCGUAUUAAAUUUAGUGAGAUACCUACUGAAAAUUAUUUUAUUUUAUUUUUUAAAUAAAAAUUUAAAAAUAUAAUACUAUACAAUAGAAGAAUGCCAAAAGGUCUUGUAACCACUUGGAUAAUGACCCAAUUACAUGAGCCCAAACAAACACCUAACCCUAGCCCAAAUAGAAAACAAAAAAGAAGAAAAAAUAAGAUUUUUCAAGGGCAUUCGGCCAACUGCCCUAACCCAUCAUCAGUGCAAGUGGCACACCCAGCCCCUGCCUCACCGCCGUUCACCUGCAAAAAAGGAGAAAAGACAGUAUGCAUAAAGAAUAGAAAUAUUGUAAAAAAAAAAUGGGCUAUAUAAGCCACCAAAGAAUCCGAUGUAAGGUUGGUUCAUUUUUUGGAAAUACAAAAGGAAAAUAUAGUAGACAUUGAAUACCAAAAAGGGGAAACUCAAAUAGCAAACAGAAAUCUACAAAAACAUAUUCAAGGAUAAAUCAAGUUAAAAGGAUAUUGUUUUUUUCUUUUUUCUUUUAUUUUAUUUUCGUUUUUUAUCUACUAACAUGGAUACAUAGAUAUUUUUUUUACAUUGUUCUUUAAAAAUACAUAAAAAAAUAAAAAAAAUAUACCUUUUUUUGAAUUUCCACGGUGGCCUGCGACGGCGGCGGACGGAGCCGGAGCUUGGUCGGAGGGAGAGGGCCUUGAGAGAGAAUAGAGAGUUUUUGAAAUUUUUUUUAAGAAACAAAUGAAGAAU
RNAcentral lists this long non-coding RNA (1738 nucleotides) under Gossypium barbadense (sea-island cotton). RNAcentral's name for it is "long non-coding RNA (GBAR_LNC004918)". The record is from RNAcentral. Lineage: Eukaryota; Viridiplantae; Streptophyta; Magnoliopsida; Malvales; Malvaceae.